Molecule: ribosomal RNA, 793 nt
Filed under: uncultured bacterium
Lineage: Bacteria
Description: bacterial SSU rRNA
Rfam family: Bacterial small subunit ribosomal RNA
Source: RNAcentral
AGAGUUUGAUCCUGGCUCAGGAUGAACGCUAGCGGCAGGCUUAAUACAUGCAAGUCGAGGGGCAGCAUGGUGUAGCAAUACACUGAUGGCGACCGGCAAACGGGUGCGGAACACGUACGCAACCUACCCAAAACUGAUGAAUAGCCCUCCGAAAGGAGGAUUAAUACAUCGUAACUUAAUGAAGUGGCAUCACUUUAUUAAUAUAGCUCCGGCGGUUUUGGAUGAGCGUGCGCCUGAUUAGGUAGUUGGCGGGGUAAUGGCCCACCAAGCCUGCGAUCAGUAACUGGUGUGAGAGCACGACCAGUCACACGGGCACUGAGACACGGGCCCGACUCCUACGGGAGGCAGCAGUAAGGAAUAUUGGUCAAUGGACGCAAGUCUGAACCAGCCAUGCCGCGUGAAGGAUGAAGGUCCUCUGGAUUGUAAACUUCUUUUAUCUGGGACGAAACCUCUUAUUCUUAAGAGACUGACGGUACCAGAGGAAUAAGCACCGGCUAACUCCGUGCCAGCAGCCGCGGUAAUACGGAGGGUGCAAGCGUUAUCCGGAUUCACUGGGUUUAAAGGGAGCGUAGGAGGGCAGGUAAGUCAGUGGUGAAAUCUUCGAGCUUAACUCGGAACUGCCGUUGAUACUAUCUGUCUUGAAUACCGUGGAGAUGAGCGGAAUAUGUCAUGUAGCGGUGAAAUGCUUAGAUAUGACAUAGAACACCAAUUGCGAAGGCAGCUCGUUACACGAAUAUUGACUCUGAGGCUCGAAAGCGUGGGGAUCAAACAGGAUUAGAUACCCUGGUAGUCC